This 251-nucleotide ribosomal RNA is filed under the name uncultured bacterium. RNAcentral describes it as "partial 16S ribosomal RNA". It matches the Rfam family "Bacterial small subunit ribosomal RNA", at positions 526 to 776 of the family's 1533-position model. The record is from RNAcentral.
CAGAGGUCUCGAGCGUUAGGCGGAAUCACUGGGCUUAAAGCGUGUGUAGGCGGGUCGGUCAGUACCUUGUGAAAUCCCACGGCUCAACCGUGGAACUGCUGGGUAUACUGCCGAUCUUGUGCAACCUAGGGGCGAGCGGAACAGAUGGUGGAGCGGUGAAAUGCGUAGAUAUCAUCUGGAACGCCAAUGGUGAAAACAGCUCGCUGGGGGUUUGCAGACGCUGAGACACGAAAGCCAGGGGAGCGAACGGG